CGCCGGCGGAUGAGCGUCUUACCAGACACGGUUAGACCUGCCCUCUGUCUAAUACUGUCUGGUAAAACCGUCCAUCC
This is a microRNA precursor of Aotus nancymaae (Ma's night monkey), 77 nucleotides long. The record is from Ensembl. Lineage: Eukaryota; Metazoa; Chordata; Mammalia; Primates; Aotidae.